This 253-nucleotide ribosomal RNA is filed under the name uncultured bacterium. Its description in RNAcentral is "partial 16S ribosomal RNA". It matches the Rfam family "Bacterial small subunit ribosomal RNA", at positions 524 to 776 of the family's 1533-position model. The record is from RNAcentral.
UACGUAUGGAGCAAGCGUUAUCCGGAUUUACUGGGUGUAAAGGGAGCGUAGGCGGCUCUGUAAGUCUGAUGUGAAAAUUUGGGGCUCAACCCCAAACGUGCAUUGGAAACUGCAGGGCUUGAGUGCCGGAGAGGCAGGCGGAAUUCCUAGUGUAGCGGUGAAAUGCGUAGAUAUUAGGAGGAACACCAGUGGCGAAGGCGGCCUGCUGGACGGAAACUGACGCUGAGGCUCGAAAGCGUGGGGAGCAAACAGG